RNAcentral lists this ribosomal RNA (429 nucleotides) under uncultured bacterium. RNAcentral's name for it is "bacterial SSU rRNA". It matches the Rfam family "Bacterial small subunit ribosomal RNA", at positions 355 to 776 of the family's 1533-position model. The record is from RNAcentral.
UCGAGGAUCUUCUGCAAUGGGCGCAAGCCUGACAGAGCGACGCCGCGUGGGGGAGGAAGGCCUUCGGGUUGUAAACCCCUGUUGCCGGUUAAGAAUGCGGAGGUGCGAACAGCACUUUCCGUUGACCAAGGCCGGUGAGGAAGCCACGGCUAACUUCGUGCCAGCAGCCGCGGUAAGACGAAGGUGGCAAGCGUUGUUCGGAAUCACUGGGCAUAAAGCGGGCGUAGGCGGCCAUGUAAGUCAGGUGUGAAAGCCCUCGGCUCAACCGAGGAACUGCGCCUGAUACUGUGUGGCUUGAGGGUUGGAGGGGAGAGUGGAAUUCCCGGUGGAGCGGUGAAAUGCGUAGAGAUCGGGAAGAACGCCGGCGGCGAAAGCGACUCUCUGGUCAACUUCUGACGCUGAGGCGCGAAAGCUAGGGGAGCAAACGGG